This is a long non-coding RNA of Hyaena hyaena (striped hyena), 1192 nucleotides long. RefSeq lists it as uncharacterized. The transcript is spliced from 6 exons. Lineage: Eukaryota; Metazoa; Chordata; Mammalia; Carnivora; Hyaenidae. The record is from RefSeq and is a predicted model, not a curated record.
CCAGGCCUGGGCUGCAGAGACCCAGAGGACGUCGGUGGCUCGGGACCCUCCUUGAGCGGGCAGCCUGGGGACGCUCGGCCCUCCCCGCGUCAGCGGCCCUGGUCGGAGACCGAGACCGUGCUUUCUGGUCUCACGAACCGUGUGCUUCGCUGAAUUGGUUGAGCCAUUUCUCACUAGAACAGAAGCUCACUGAGGACACGCAUCUGUUCCCUGCUGCGUCCCGGCACCUAGGUCACGGCCACAGAAACACCCAGGAACGCGCCAGCAACCUCCGAGCACCGGAGUGAGAAGUUCUCAGUGAGCGAAGGCCAGAAACAGGUCCACCGCUGAUUUGCUGAAAAGCCCUAACAGCCACAGACACCGAGCAUCUGGGCCCGGCAAGCUGGUGAGCACCCUGAGGCCUAACGAAGGGCACAGACCCCCAGGACGGCCCUCGUCCAGGGGAGCAGCAAGCUCUGCCCAGCCUCCCGGAAUGGAGUCACUCAGCGGACAACUGCAGGCUGCGGAUGAGGGGGUGGGGACACAGCGGCCCCGAGCACUGGCUGCACCCUAGAAACGAGCAAGCAGAGGACCCUGUGGGCUACACGGCAGUCAUCUGAGACAGCGUCUGGGGGACCAUAUACAAAAAGCUCCAAGGAGACCCUGGAAGACCCCUGUCCACUGGAAUUCACACCCUUGGGCCAUCCCAGGGUCCACACGGUGAAGAGCUGAACUCUCUUGCCAACAGCCAGACAAGGACAGAUGGGGAGCAGCUUGCCUGAAGCAGGAACUUGAGAGCCUAGGACCCCCAGCACCCGAGGAACAGGGAGUAGCUGCAUGCGUGUCCUCUCGUCCUCUCUGCUCCCUCCUUCCACCAAAGGACCGCCUGGCUCACCAGCACGGCAAAGCAGAAGCCUAGGACCGGAGCCUCCAGCCCCGAGUUCACCUUGAGGUUGCCCCAGAGGGUUAAAAGGAACAGCCUUCACGUACACAUACACUGAGUAGAGCCGAGGAAGAACAAAAUCAUGGUUUGUGGGUUUGAGCCCCACAAGCCUGCCUGGGAUUCUGUCUUCUCUUUCUCUCUGCCCCUCCCCUCCUUGCUCUCUCUCUCUUUCUCAAAAAUAAAUGAAUAAACAUUUUUAAUAAAUGUAUCGAUAAUCUGUUCUUCCAGAAUCACAUUUGCUAGGACACCCAACUCCUGGGUACGAAUGAC